UACGUAGGUGGCAAGCGUUAUCCGGAAUUAUUGGGUGUAAAGGGAGCGUAGGCGGGAAAGCAAGUUGAAUGUUUAAGGUACGGGCUCAACCUGUACAAGCGUUCAAAACUGUUUUUCUUGAGUGGAGUAGAGGUAAGCGGAAUUCCUAGUGUAGCGGUGAAAUGCGUAAAUAUUAGGAGGAACACCAGUGGCGAAGGCGGCUUACUGGGCUUUAACUGACGCUGAGGCUCGAAAGCGUGGGUAGCAAACAGG
This 252-nucleotide ribosomal RNA is filed under the name uncultured bacterium. RNAcentral describes it as "partial 16S ribosomal RNA". It matches the Rfam family "Bacterial small subunit ribosomal RNA", at positions 524 to 776 of the family's 1533-position model. The record is from RNAcentral.